GUGGGGAAUAUUGGACAAUGGGGGGAACCCUGAUCCAGCCAUGCCGCGUGUGUGAAGAAGGCCUUUUGGUUGUAAAGCACUUUAAGCGAGGAGGAGGCUACCGAGAUUAAUACUCUUGGAUAGUGGACGUUACUCGCAGAAUAAGCACCGGCUAACUCUGUGCCAGCAGCCGCGGUAAUACAGAGGGUGCAAGCGGUAAUCGGAUUUACUGGGCGUAAAGCGCGCGUAGGUGGCCAAUUAAGUCAAAUGUGAAAUCCCCGAGCUUAACUUGGGAAUUGCAUUCGAUACUGGUUGGCUAGAGUAUGGGAGAGGAUGGUAGAAUUCCAGGUGUAGCGGUGAAAUGCGUAGAGAUCUGGAGGAAUACCGAUGGCGAAGGCAGCCAUCUGGCCUAAUACUGACACUGAGGUGCGAAAGCAUGGGGAGCAAACAGGAUUAGAUACCCUAGUAGUCC
This 451-nucleotide ribosomal RNA is filed under the name uncultured bacterium. Its description in RNAcentral is "partial 16S ribosomal RNA". It matches the Rfam family "Bacterial small subunit ribosomal RNA", at positions 354 to 796 of the family's 1533-position model. The record is from RNAcentral.